CCGGGCAUAGCGCAGUCUGGUAGCGCACCACAAUGGGGUUGUGGGGGUCGCAGGUUCAAAUCCUGCUGCCCGGACCA
RNAcentral lists this transfer RNA (77 nucleotides) under Thiospirillum jenense. RNAcentral describes it as "tRNA-Pro". It matches the Rfam family "tRNA". Rfam says of the family: Transfer RNA (tRNA) molecules are approximately 80 nucleotides in length. The record is from RNAcentral. Lineage: Bacteria; Pseudomonadati; Pseudomonadota; Gammaproteobacteria; Chromatiales; Chromatiaceae.